AUUGAACGCUGGCGGCAUGCUUUACACAUGCAAGUCGAACGGCAGCGCGGGCUUCGGCCUGGCGGCGAGUGGCGAACGGGUGAGUAAUACAUCGGUACGUGCCCAGUAGUGGGGGAUAGCUCGGCGAAAGCCGGAUUAAUACCGCAUACGACCUGAGGGUGAAAGCGGGGGAUCUUCGGACCUCGCGCUAUUGGAGCGGCCGAUGGCAGAUUAGCUAGUUGGUGGGGUAAAGGCCUACCAAGGCGACGAUCUGUAGCUGGUCUGAGAGGACGACCAGCCACACUGGGACUGAGACACGGCCCAGACUCCUACGGGAGGCAGCAGUGGGGAAUUUUGGACAAUGGGCGAAAGCCUGAUCCAGCAAUGCCGCGUGUGUGAUGAAGGCCUUCGGGUUGUAAAGCACUUUUGGCGGGAACGAAAAGGACUGUGCCAAUACCACGGUUCGAUGACGGUACCCGCAGAAUAAGCACCGGCUAACUACGUG
RNAcentral lists this ribosomal RNA (484 nucleotides) under uncultured bacterium. Its description in RNAcentral is "partial 16S ribosomal RNA". It matches the Rfam family "Bacterial small subunit ribosomal RNA", at positions 29 to 507 of the family's 1533-position model. The record is from RNAcentral.